This is a long non-coding RNA of Oreochromis aureus, 460 nucleotides long. The record is from Ensembl. NCBI's taxonomy places the organism in Eukaryota, Metazoa, Chordata, Actinopteri, Cichliformes, Cichlidae.
AGAGACUCCUCUAUGGAAACACAGAAGCAACAUCAACCAGGAUGUCAGAACAGCCUCCCAGAGCUGCUGUUUGGAUGUGAACUGCCUCCCACCCUCAUAAUUUUUUGCUUGAGGAUGCUCCACAGGUUCUCAAUAGGAUUGAAAUCAGGGAAGGGCCACUCCAUGAGUUCCUCUCCUUUUACGCCGAUAGCAGCCAAUGAUGCAGAGGUAUUCCUUGUAGCAUGAAGAUGGUUGUGUUGCAGAAAGCACAGUUCUUCUCUUUCUACCAUGGAAGAAAGUGGUCAGUCAGAAACUCCACAUCCUUUGCAGAGGUCAUUUUCACACCUUCAGGGAGCCUAAAGGGGCCGACCAGCUCUCUCCCCGUGAUUCCGGCUCAGUACAUGACUCCACCACCUCUUUGCUGACGACGCAGCCUUAUUGGGACAUAGUGGCCAUCCACCAACCAUCCACAACUGCAUCC